RNAcentral lists this microRNA (23 nucleotides) under Schmidtea mediterranea. RNAcentral's name for it is "sme-miR-2177-3p". The record is from miRBase by way of RNAcentral. Lineage: Eukaryota; Metazoa; Platyhelminthes; Tricladida; Dugesiidae.
AAAUGCCCAGUGAAUUUCUCGGU